GUGGAUUAGAUACCCGAGUAGUCCACGCCCUAAACGGUGCACACUAGGUCUUGGCGGAUUCGACCCCCCCAGGGCCCAAGCUAACGCGUUAAGUGUGCCGCCUGAGGACUACGGCCGCAAGGCUAAAACUCAAAGGAAUUGACGGGGGCCCGCACAAGCGGUGGAGCAUGUGGCUCAAUUCGAUGCAACGCGAAGAACCUUACCUGGCCUUGACAUGCACUAGACCGACGCUGAAAGGCGUCCUCCCUUCGGGGCUGGUGCACAGGUGCUGCAUGGCCGUCGCCAGCU
This 288-nucleotide ribosomal RNA is filed under the name uncultured bacterium. Its description in RNAcentral is "partial 16S ribosomal RNA". It matches the Rfam family "Bacterial small subunit ribosomal RNA", at positions 773 to 1060 of the family's 1533-position model. The record is from RNAcentral.